UACGGAGGGUGCAAGCGUUAUCCGGAUUCACUGGGUUUAAAGGGUGCGUAGGCGGGCAGGUAAGUCCGUGGUGAAAUCUCUGAGCUUAACUCAGAAACUGCCAUGGAUACUAUUUGUCUUGAAUAUUGUGGAGGUAAGCGGAAUAUGUCAUGUAGCGGUGAAAUGCUUAGAUAUGACAUAGAACACCAAUUGCGAAGGCAGCUUACUACACAGUAAUUGACGCUGAGGCACGGAAGCGUGGGGAUCAAACAGG
RNAcentral lists this ribosomal RNA (253 nucleotides) under uncultured bacterium. RNAcentral's name for it is "partial 16S ribosomal RNA". It matches the Rfam family "Bacterial small subunit ribosomal RNA", at positions 524 to 776 of the family's 1533-position model. The record is from RNAcentral.